CCUACGGGAGGCAGCAGUGGGGAAUAUUGCACAAUGGGCGAAAGCCUGAUGCAGCAACGCCGCGUGAGCGAUGAAGGCCUUCGGGUCGUAAAGCUCUGUCCUCAAGGAAGAUAAUGACGGUACUUGAGGAGGAAGCCCCGGCUAACUACGUGCCAGCAGCCGCGGUAAUACGUAGGGGGCUAGCGUUAUCCGGAAUUACUGGGCGUAAAGGGUGCGUAGGUGGUUUCUUAAGUCAGAGGUGAAAGGCUAGGGCUCAACCGUAGUAAGCCUUUGAAACUGGGGAACUUGAGUGCAGGAGAGGAGAGUGGAAUUCCUAGUGUAGCGGUGAAAUGCGUAGUUAUUAGGAGGAACACCAGUUGCGAAGGCGGCUCUCUGGACUGUAACUGACACUGAGGCACGAAAGCGUGGGGAGCAAACAGGAUUAGAUACCCGGGUAGUC
This 439-nucleotide ribosomal RNA is filed under the name uncultured bacterium. RNAcentral describes it as "partial 16S ribosomal RNA". It matches the Rfam family "Bacterial small subunit ribosomal RNA", at positions 338 to 795 of the family's 1533-position model. The record is from RNAcentral.